This 159-nucleotide unclassified non-coding RNA is filed under the name Colletotrichum sansevieriae. Its description in RNAcentral is "partial ITS2". Lineage: Eukaryota; Fungi; Ascomycota; Sordariomycetes; Glomerellales; Glomerellaceae. The record is from RNAcentral.
AACCCUCAAGCACCGCUUGGCGUUGGGGCCCUACGGCUUCCCCGUAGGCCCUCAAAGGUAGUGGCGGACCCUCCCGGAGCCUCCUUUGCGUAGUAACAUUCUCGUCUCGCACUGGGAUCCGGAGGGACUCUGGCCGUUAAACCCCCCAAAUCUAUAAGG